GUUCAUUUCGAAUGUCUUCAAAUUUUGAGCAAAUUAAUUAUGAGCCACUUAUUCGCAUACGCCCUUUGUCAAAAUAAAUGACAGUACUCAGCAGUCGUACCAAAACGACACAACAAAACUUCUUCCGCUUGAGCCAAUAAAGGAAAAAAGGAAGGAGCCAUUCGGCAGAAAGCAAGUGUCGACGGAGCCGUUCAGUGCCGUUUUGUGGUGCCUCCAGUCUUGGGGAAUAAAAAUCAAAAGUGCGUGCGCGAGCAGGAUCGGAGAAAGCAAAUCGCAUCGCUGUAAGUUCCUGUGAAGGGCGGAAUUGUGUACGAAGCAGACGACGGAACGGUCCAUUUCGUUGGCCAUUCGGACACGCGCAACCUUCCGGCUGUAAAGAGCCACAAUCACCGCCAGCCCUCAAGACCACGGACGCAAAUCAACAAAAGCAAAUAGGCGAGGAAAACGGCCGUCGAUACCGGCUUCCGGCAGUAGAAACGCUGGCCUACGAUUGAAUAGCGGCGUGAAAUCACCUACACAAAAGACAAUCCAGAGGCGAAGUUGGCAAGGGCACCGACAAGCACGAGCUGAGAUAGAAUAACAAAGAAAGGCGUCUCUACUACAGGGUGAGUUACCCAAAAAAAAGUGCAAGCCUAUGGAGUGAGGCUAAUGUGGAGCCCUUACAGGGCGCCUUUUUUAUUUUCCCCUCUUCGCUUUAGGCAGACGAAUUCCUAGCUGGUGGAUGAACGGUGAACUCCGCUCCAAUACCGGAUUGAGACAGUUCCCGCAAAGCCCAAGAGAGUGCUGAACGUCACCGGACGGCAGGGUGUGACGAGCGCUGGAGCUCAAUUCGCUGGUAAUCCAGUCAAACUCAAGCGACGGGAAGAAAGGAAGCAACCGGUCUGAGGCCGGAAAUCAACCACGAAAAGAACGGCGGAGCGACCACCUGUCCGCGGCUGAGAGGAAGGAGCUAAUGCCUAGCGAUCGGCCGAGUGGCUCAACUAUAGCGAGAGUUGCAGAGCGUAGGCGGUCCGUGAGUACUAAAAACAUGGUGACUGUGGUCACAGAAGACUAGCCCAAAGGCUGAAGAAAGUAGUGUGCCAUCAGGCAGCAAUGACUGCUCGACAGAUAGAAAGUUAGGGACAGAUAGAGUAGAAGCUUAGCCCUGGGGGCGUGGGUGUGCAAUUGGCAAAACGAAUAUAUGAUGUGGCUCAAAUGAAUUAGUGGCUCUUUUCUUUCAUUUUGGCUUGAGGAAAACCUUAUAGAC
Long non-coding RNA from Aedes aegypti (yellow fever mosquito), 1246 nucleotides. RefSeq lists it as uncharacterized. Lineage: Eukaryota; Metazoa; Arthropoda; Insecta; Diptera; Culicidae. The record is from RefSeq and is a predicted model, not a curated record. The transcript is spliced from 3 exons.